UAAUAUUCUCCAUUUUGUCUUUCAUUCUGCCUUUGCCUUCAGACCUAGUCACAUCUCCUUAACCCCACUGCCACUAACCUUCCUUCUUAACCUCUUGGUUACACCUGUAUUCUUCCUGGGAACUGGGAACUCUUACCACCCCUGACUGUGGGAAUGCAGAAUGCAGAAGAGUUGUGGGGUGCAGAACGCAGAAGAGUUGUGGCAAAGGAUGUGAGGAGAGUAACAACAGGCAGAUCCUUAUAAUAACAAACCUUCAUUUGCACCAGCUGCUCUACCUUUAUCUCAUAAGGGAUAGAUAACGGACACCUCGUUAAUGAGGAAAACAAGGAAUGGGUUAUGCAGAUGUGGUGGGUUGUCCUUGACUAAUUAUGCUAAUCUGUAGGCAUAUGCUCUACUGGCUGAGUGCUUAUAUACUUGGGCUGUAUGUAAUAAAGUGUCUCUGGCAUAAUUCAAA
This is a long non-coding RNA of Pogoniulus pusillus (Red-fronted tinkerbird), 454 nucleotides long. RefSeq lists it as uncharacterized. The transcript is spliced from 2 exons. The record is from RefSeq and is a predicted model, not a curated record. Lineage: Eukaryota; Metazoa; Chordata; Aves; Piciformes; Lybiidae.